AUGUAUAUUAAAUCAUAUGGUUUAAUGAUUUAACUAUAUACCAAUUUGAUUAAAAAUAAAUUGUGUACAUUUGUGCACAUCAAUGUACUCAUCUAGCUCCGUCCAUGCUUACAACACUCUAUUCUGCAAUUAGUUAUGUUUAGCCAUUAACCCCUUUGCUCGAUCUGCUAUGCUAAUCCACUUUAUUGAUUUGACACAAGAGGAGCCAAAGGAUAUUUAUGAGCCUUAGCAGUUGAGUUGUUAAUUCAACCGCACCUAAAAAUAUAUCUUUCUGGAGCAAAGUGUUUAGCACCAAAGUAGUUUAAUAGUUUUGAUAGUAAGAAUAGUAGUUUUGUAGUGAUCGUAACAGUAGCGGCGACAACAGUAACUUAGCAAACACAAUAUGAGCGAAGCGUAGACAUUGGAACAAUGAUGGAUAAUUGUAUGAAUGGCAUUUAUCAUGUAAUACUCACUACCUAGAGCAACACAGAACUAUCUCCAAUUCAUCAAUUCAAUGUAGGCAUGCAUUUCGUUUAUAGUUAUAUGUGCUUAUAAUAAGAACUUGCAUAACAUCUUUGGUCCAACUCUCCCGUGGCAGCGGGCUCCUAAUGGAAAUAUAAGGGUAUUUUGUUGGAAAUAUGCCCUAGAGGCAAUAAUAAAUUGGUUAUUAUCAUAUUUUCUUUUUCAUGAUAAUUGUUUAUUGUCCAUGCUAUAAUUGUAUUGAUUGCAC
RNAcentral lists this long non-coding RNA (709 nucleotides) under Hordeum vulgare. RNAcentral describes it as "long non-coding RNA (HVUL_LNC008323)". Lineage: Eukaryota; Viridiplantae; Streptophyta; Magnoliopsida; Poales; Poaceae. The record is from RNAcentral.